This 252-nucleotide ribosomal RNA is filed under the name uncultured bacterium. RNAcentral describes it as "partial 16S ribosomal RNA". It matches the Rfam family "Bacterial small subunit ribosomal RNA", at positions 525 to 776 of the family's 1533-position model. The record is from RNAcentral.
ACGUAGGAGGCGAGCGUUAUCCGGAUUUACUGGGUGUAAAGCGCGUGCAGGCGGUUUGAUAAGUUGGAUGUGAAAGCUCCUGGCUUAACUGGGAGAGGUCGUUCAAAACUAUCAGACUAGAGAAUGGUAGAGGAAGAUGGAAUUCCCGGUGUAGUGGUGAAAUGCGUAGAUAUCGGGAGGAACACCAGUGGCGAAGGCGGUCUUCUGGCCCAUUUCUGACGCUCAGACGCGAAGGCUAGGGUAGCAAACGGG